This 1602-nucleotide ribosomal RNA is filed under the name Escherichia coli. RNAcentral describes it as "partial 23S ribosomal RNA". It matches the Rfam family "Bacterial large subunit ribosomal RNA", at positions 1 to 1637 of the family's 2925-position model. The record is from RNAcentral. Lineage: Bacteria; Pseudomonadati; Pseudomonadota; Gammaproteobacteria; Enterobacterales; Enterobacteriaceae.
GGGUUGUGAGGUUAAGCGACUAAGCGUACACGGUGGAUGCCCUGGCAGUCAGAGGCGAUGAAGGACGUGCUAAUCUGCGAUAAGCGUCGGUAAGGUGAUAUGAACCGUUAUAACCGGCGAUUUCCGAAUGGGGAAACCCAGUGUGUUUCGACACACUAUCAUUAACUGAAUCCAUAGGUUAAUGAGGCGAACCGGGGGAACUGAAACAUCUAAGUACCCCGAGGAAAAGAAAUCAACCGAGAUUCCCCCAGUAGCGGCGAGCGAACGGGGAGCAGCCCAGAGCCUGAAUCAGUGUGUGUGUUAGUGGAAGCGUCUGGAAAGGCGCGCGAUACAGGGUGACAGCCCCGUACACAAAAAUGCACAUACUGUGAGCUCGAUGAGUAGGGCGGGACACGUGGUAUCCUGUCUGAAUAUGGGGGGACCAUCCUCCAAGGCUAAAUACUCCUGACUGACCGAUAGUGAACCAGUACCGUGAGGGAAAGGCGAAAAGAACCCCGGCGAGGGGAGUGAAAAAGAACCUGAAACCGUGUACGUACAAGCAGUGGGAGCACGCUUCGGCGUGUGACUGCGUACCUUUUGUAUAAUGGGUCAGCGACUUAUAUUCUGUAGCAAGGUUAACCGAAUAGGGGAGCCGAAGGGAAACCGAGUCUUAACUGGGCGUUAAGUUGCAGGGUAUAGACCCGAAACCCGGUGAUCUAGCCAUGGGCAGGUUGAAGGUUGGGUAACACUAACUGGAGGACCGAACCGACUAAUGUUGAAAAAUUAGCGGAUGACUUGUGGCUGGGGGUGAAAGGCCAAUCAAACCGGGAGAUAGCUGGUUCUCCCCGAAAGCUAUUUAGGUAGCGCCUCGUGAACUCAUCUUCGGGGGUAGAGCACUGUUUCGGCAAGGGGGUCAUCCCGACUUACCAACCCGAUGCAAACUGCGAAUACCGGAGAAUGUUAUCACGGGAGACACACGGCGGGUGCUAACGUCCGUCGUGAAGAGGGAAACAACCCAGACCGCCAGCUAAGGUCCCAAAGUCAUGGUUAAGUGGGAAACGAUGUGGGAAGGCCCAGACAGCCAGGAUGUUGGCUUAGAAGCAGCCAUCAUUUAAAGAAAGCGUAAUAGCUCACUGGUCGAGUCGGCCUGCGCGGAAGAUGUAACGGGGCUAAACCAUGCACCGAAGCUGCGGCAGCGACACUAUGUGUUGUUGGGUAGGGGAGCGUUCUGUAAGCCUGUGAAGGUGUGCUGUGAGGCAUGCUGGAGGUAUCAGAAGUGCGAAUGCUGACAUAAGUAACGAUAAAGCGGGUGAAAAGCCCGCUCGCCGGAAGACCAAGGGUUCCUGUCCAACGUUAAUCGGGGCAGGGUGAGUCGACCCCUAAGGCGAGGCCGAAAGGCGUAGUCGAUGGGAAACAGGUUAAUAUUCCUGUACUUGGUGUUACUGCGAAGGGGGGACGGAGAAGGCUAUGUUGGCCGGGCGACGGUUGUCCCGGUUUAAGCGUGUAGGCUGGUUUUCCAGGCAAAUCCGGAAAAUCAAGGCUGAGGCGUGAUGACGAGGCACUACGGUGCUGAAGCAACAAAUGCCCUGCUUCCAGGAAAAGCCUCUAAGCAUCAGGUAACAU